This 1287-nucleotide ribosomal RNA is filed under the name metagenome. RNAcentral describes it as "bacterial SSU rRNA". It matches the Rfam family "Bacterial small subunit ribosomal RNA", at positions 242 to 1520 of the family's 1533-position model. The record is from RNAcentral.
UAGCUAGUUGGUGAGGUAAAGGCUUACCAAGGCGACGAUCUGUAGCGGGUCUGAGAGGAUGAUCCGCCACACUGGAACUGAGACACGGUCCAGACUCCUACGGGAGGCAGCAGUGGGGAAUUUUGGACAAUGGGGGCAACCCUGAUCCAGCCAUGCCGCGUGAGUGAAGAAGGCCUUCGGGUUGUAAAGCUCUUUCGGCCGGGAAGAAAUCGCAUGGGCCAAUACCCUGUGUGGAUGACGGUACCGGAAUAAGAAGCACCGGCUAACUACGUGCCAGCAGCCGCGGUAAUACGUAGGGUGCGAGCGUUAAUCGGAAUUACUGGGCGUAAAGCGUGCGCAGGCGGUUUUGUAAGACAGGCGUGAAAUCCCCGGGCUUAACCUGGGAACUGCGUUUGUGACUGCAAGGCUAGAGUACGGCAGAGGGGGGUGGAAUUCCACGUGUAGCAGUGAAAUGCGUAGAGAUGUGGAGGAACACCAAUGGCGAAGGCAGCCCCCUGGGUCGAUACUGACGCUCAUGCACGAAAGCGUGGGUAGCAAACAGGAUUAGAUACCCUGGUAGUCCACGCCCUAAACUAUGUCAACUAGGUGUUGGGUGGGUAAAACCAUUUAGUACCGUAGCUAACGCGUGAAGUUGACCGCCUGGGGAGUACGGCCGCAAGGUUAAAACUCAAAGGAAUUGACGGGGACCCGCACAAGCGGUGGAUGAUGUGGAUUAAUUCGAUGCAACGCGAAAAACCUUACCUACCCUUGACAUGCCAGGAACUUGCCAGAGAUGGCUUGGUGCCCGAAAGGGAGCCUGGACACAGGUGCUGCAUGGCUGUCGUCAGCUCGUGUCGUGAGAUGUUGGGUUAAGUCCCGCAACGAGCGCAACCCUUGUCGUUAAUUGCCAUCAUUUAGUUGGGCACUUUAACGAGACUGCCGGUGACAAACCGGAGGAAGGUGGGGAUGACGUCAAGUCCUCAUGGCCCUUAUGGGUAGGGCUUCACACGUCAUACAAUGGUCCGUACAAAGGGUUGCCAAGCCGCGAGGCGGAGCCAAUCCCAGAAAGCCGAUCGUAGUCCGGAUUGCAGGCUGCAACUCGCCUGCAUGAAGUCGGAAUCGCUAGUAAUCGUGGAUCAGCAUGUCACGGUGAAUACGUUCCCGGGUCUUGUACACACCGCCCGUCACACCAUGGGAGCGGGUUCCGCCAGAAGUAGGUAGCCUAACCGCAAGGGGGGCGCUUACCACGGCGGGGUUCGUGACUGGGGUGAAGUCGAAACAAGGUAGCCGUAGGGGAACCUGCGGCUG